GAUGAACGCUGGCGGCGUGCCUUAGGCAUGCAAGUCGAACGAUCUGUCUUCGGACAGGGAGUGGCGGACGGGUGAGUAACGCGUAGGAAUCUACCCUCUGGUGGGGAAUAACCCCGAGAAAUCGGGGCUAAUACCGCAUAACCUCUACGGAGAAAAGGGCAUAACUGCCCGCCGGAGGAGGAGCCUGCGUCUUAUCAGCUUGUUGGUGGGGUAAUGGCUCACCAAGGCGAUGACGGGUAGCUGGACUGAGAGGUCGGUCAGCCACAAGGUCACUGAGACACGGGGCCUACACCUACGGGUGGCAGCAACCGGGAAUCUUGCGCAAUGGGCGAAAGCCUGACGCAGCGACGCCGCGUGUAUGAAGAAGGCCUUCGGGUUGUAAAGUACUUUCAGUCGUGAGGAAGGCAUUGUAGUUAAUAGCUGCAGUGCUUGACGUUAGCGACAGAAGAAGCACCGGCUAACUCCGUG
Molecule: ribosomal RNA, 468 nt
Filed under: uncultured bacterium
Lineage: Bacteria
Description: bacterial SSU rRNA
Rfam family: Bacterial small subunit ribosomal RNA
Source: RNAcentral